Molecule: ribosomal RNA, 372 nt
Filed under: uncultured organism
Description: bacterial SSU rRNA
Rfam family: Bacterial small subunit ribosomal RNA
Source: RNAcentral
CAGAGGGGGCAAGCGUUGUUCGGAAUUACUGGGCGUAAAGGGCGCGUAGGCGGCCUGCUAAGUCGAACGUGAAAUCCCUGGGCUCAACCCAGGAACUGCGUCCGAUACUGGUUGGCUUGAAUCCGGGAGAGGGAUGUGGAAUUCCAGGUGUAGCGGUGAAAUGCGUAGAUAUCUGGAGGAACACCGGUGGCGAAGGCGACAUCCUGGACCGGUAUUGACGCUGAGGCGCGAAAGCCAGGGGAGCAAACGGGAUUAGAUACCCCGGUAGUCCUGGCCCUAAACGAUGAAUGCUUGGUGUGGUGGGUAUCGAUCCCUACCGUGCCGAAGCUAACGCAUUAAGCAUUCCGCCUGGAGAGUACGGUCGCAAGGCUG